GAUGAACGCUGGCGGCGUGCCUAAUACAUGCAAGUCGAGCGAACGGACGAUAAGCUUGCUUCUCUGAUGUUAGCGGCGGACGGGAGAGUAACACGUGUAUAACCUACCUAUAAUUCGGGGAUAACUUCGGGAAACCGUAGCUAAUACCGGAUAAUAUUUUGAACCGCAUGGUUCAAAAGAGAAAGUCGGUGUUGCUGUAACUUAUCGAUGGAUCCGCGCUGCAUUAGCUAGUUGGUAAGGUAACGGCUUACGAAGGCAACGAGGCAUAGCCGACGUGAGAGGGUGGUAGCCCACAUGAGAACUGAGCCACGGUCAUGACUCCUAAGAGAGGCAGCAGUAGGGUAUCUUACGCAGUGGGCGAAAGCAUGACGGAGCAACGCCGAGUGAGUGAUGAAAGUCUUCGGAUCGUAAAAAUCUGUUAUUAGGUGAGAACAUAUGUGUAAGUAACUGUGCACAUCUUGACGGUACCUAAUAAGAAAGCAACGGCUAACUACGUG
Molecule: ribosomal RNA, 497 nt
Filed under: uncultured bacterium
Lineage: Bacteria
Description: partial 16S ribosomal RNA
Rfam family: Bacterial small subunit ribosomal RNA
Source: RNAcentral